RNAcentral lists this ribosomal RNA (253 nucleotides) under uncultured bacterium. RNAcentral describes it as "partial 16S ribosomal RNA". It matches the Rfam family "Bacterial small subunit ribosomal RNA", at positions 524 to 776 of the family's 1533-position model. The record is from RNAcentral.
UACGGAGGGGGCUAGCGUUGUUCGGAAUUACUGGGCGUAAAGCGCACGUAGGCGGAUUUGUAAGUCAGGGGUGAAAUCCCGGGGCUCAACCUCGGAACUGCCUUUGAUACUGCAAAUCUCGAGUCCGGAAGAGGUGAGUGGAACUCCUAGUGUAGAGGUGAAAUUCGUAGAUAUUAGGAAGAACACCAGUGGCGAAGGCGGCUCACUGGUCCGGUACUGACGCUGAGGUGCGAAAGCGUGGGGAGCAAACAGG